UACGAAGGGUGCAAGCGUUACUCGGAAUUACUGGGCGUAAAGCGUGCGCAGGCGGUUAUGUAAGACAGUUGUGAAAUCCCCGGGCUCAACCUGGGAAUUGCAUCUGUGACUGCAUAGCUAGAGUACGGUAGAGGGGGAUGGAAUUCCGCGUGUAGCAGUGAAAUGCGUAGAUAUGCGGAGGAACACCGAUGGCGAAGGCAAUCCCCUGGACCUGUACUGACGCUCAUGCACGAAAGCGUGGGGAGCAAACAGG
This 253-nucleotide ribosomal RNA is filed under the name uncultured bacterium. Its description in RNAcentral is "partial 16S ribosomal RNA". It matches the Rfam family "Bacterial small subunit ribosomal RNA", at positions 524 to 776 of the family's 1533-position model. The record is from RNAcentral.